RNAcentral lists this ribosomal RNA (252 nucleotides) under uncultured bacterium. Its description in RNAcentral is "partial 16S ribosomal RNA". It matches the Rfam family "Bacterial small subunit ribosomal RNA", at positions 524 to 776 of the family's 1533-position model. The record is from RNAcentral.
UACGGAGGGUGCAAGCGUUGUCCGGAAUCACUGGGCUAAAGGGCGCGUAGGCGGCUCAUGAAGGCUGUGGUGAAAGUCCGGGGCUCAACCUCGGAUCGGCCGUGGCGACUCGUGGGCUGGAGCACUGUAGAGGCGGGUGGAAUUCCGGGUGUAGCGGUGGAAUGCGUAGAGAUCCGGAAGAACACCAGUGGCGAAGGCGGCCCGCUGGGCAGUGGCUGACGCUGAGGCGCGACAGCGUGGGGAGCAAACAGG